This is a transfer RNA of 116 nucleotides. It matches the Rfam family "tRNA". Rfam says of the family: Transfer RNA (tRNA) molecules are approximately 80 nucleotides in length. The record is from Rfam.
GGCAAGGUGGCCGAGCGGUCCAAGGCGCCAGGUUCAGGAUCACCUGGAUUUAGGAUCUCGCAAGAAGAUUUCCUGGUCUCAGAAAUGGGGCGUGAGUUCGAAUCUCACCCUUGUCA